RNAcentral lists this unclassified non-coding RNA (425 nucleotides) under Hevea brasiliensis (rubber tree). The record is from RNAcentral. Lineage: Eukaryota; Viridiplantae; Streptophyta; Magnoliopsida; Malpighiales; Euphorbiaceae.
AGAAAAAAAAAAUAUUUUCUCUAUUGCCAUAUUAGUUUAAUUUGUUGCUAGUGCUUGGCUUUUGAUUGUACGUAGAACCGCCAAUUAUUUGCGUUUGUCUUCUUCCUUUAGUUUGUAAUUUGUGUAGGAUUUUUAUGAUAAAAAAGGGUCUUUAGUCAUUCACCACCUUGUUAAUACAAAGUUAGUGAAGUAUUUUUGUUUAAGAAAAAGACAUCAAUCAAUCAAUGAAAGCAUAAUAUGGAGGAAAAAUAAAAAGAAAAGGAUCUUUGAAAGUUAGUGGGUUUUGCACUCUAGUUGGCCAGAAAUACCCUUUUUUUAUGGUCCCUUCUUGAGAUGCCAAAGUAGAAAGGCGGAGAUAGAAGUGUAAACGAUUCAAGCAAGUUAUGCUUUAAAGGGUUUAAGUUUGGGUUAUUAAUUUUUUUUUU